RNAcentral lists this ribosomal RNA (251 nucleotides) under uncultured bacterium. RNAcentral's name for it is "partial 16S ribosomal RNA". It matches the Rfam family "Bacterial small subunit ribosomal RNA", at positions 526 to 776 of the family's 1533-position model. The record is from RNAcentral.
CGUAGGGUGCAAGCGUUGUCCGGAAUUAUUGGGCGUAAAGAGCUCGUAGGCGGUUUGUCGCGUCGAAUGUGAAAACCCGGGGCUCAACCCCGGGCCUGCAUUCGAUACGGGCAGACUAGAGUUCGGUAGGGGAGUCUGGAAUUCCUGGUGUAGCGGUGAAAUGCGCAGAUAUCAGGAGGAACACCGCGGGCGGAGGCGGGACUCUGGGCCGAUACUGACGCUGAGGAGCGAAAGCGUGGGGAGCAAACAGG